This 427-nucleotide ribosomal RNA is filed under the name uncultured Massilia sp. RNAcentral's name for it is "bacterial SSU rRNA". It matches the Rfam family "Bacterial small subunit ribosomal RNA", at positions 355 to 774 of the family's 1533-position model. The record is from RNAcentral. Lineage: Bacteria; Pseudomonadati; Pseudomonadota; Betaproteobacteria; Burkholderiales; Oxalobacteraceae.
UGGGGAAUUUUGGACAAUGGGGGCAACCCUGAUCCAGCAAUGCCGCGUGAGUGAAGAAGGCCUUCGGGUUGUAAAGCUCUUUUGUCAGGGAAGAAACGGGAGUGGCUAAUAUCCAUUCCUAAUGACGGUACCUGAAGAAUAAGCACCGGCUAACUACGUGCCAGCAGCCGCGGUAAUACGUAGGGUGCAAGCGUUAAUCGGAAUUACUGGGCGUAAAGCGUGCGCAGGCGGUUUUGUAAGUCUGACGUGAAAUCCCCGGGCUUAACCUGGGAAUUGCGUUGGAGACUGCAAGGCUGGAGUCUGGCAGAGGGGGGUAGAAUUCCACGUGUAGCAGUGAAAUGCGUAGAGAUGUGGAGGAACACCGAUGGCGAAGGCAGCCCCCUGGGUCAAGACUGACGCUCAUGCACGAAAGCGUGGGGAGCAAACA